Molecule: ribosomal RNA, 305 nt
Filed under: uncultured bacterium
Lineage: Bacteria
Description: bacterial SSU rRNA
Rfam family: Bacterial small subunit ribosomal RNA
Source: RNAcentral
CCUACGGGAGGCAGCAGUGGGGAAUAUUGCACAAUGGGGGAAACCCUGAUGCAGCAACGCCGCGUGAAGGAAGACGGUUUUCGGAUUGUAAACUUCUGUUCUUAGUGAAGAAGAAUGACGGUAGCUAAGGAGCAAGCCACGGCUAACUACGUGCCAGCAGCCGCGGUAAUACGUAGGGGGCAAGCGUUAUCCGGAUUUACUGGGUGUAAAGGGAGCGUAGACGGUGCGCCAAGUCUGGAGUGAAAUGCCGCAGCUUAACUGCGGAACUGCUUUGGAAACUGGCGAACUAGAGCGCGGGAGGGGUA